CCUACGGGUGGCAGCAGUGGGGAAUAUUGGACAAUGGGGGGAACCCUGAUCCAGCCAUGCCGCGUGUGUGAAGAAGGCCCUCGGGUUGUAAAGCACUUUCAGUGAGGAAGAACGCCUGGUGGUUAAUACCCAUCAGGAAAGACAUCACUCACAGAAGAAGCACCGGCUAACUCCGUGCCAGCAGCCGCGGUAAUACGGAGGGUGCGAGCGUUAAUCGGAAUUACUGGGCGUAAAGCGCGCGUAGGUGGCUUGAUAAGCCGGUUGUGAAAGCCCCGGGCUCAACCUGGGAACGGCAUCCGGAACUGUCAAGCUAGAGUGCAGGAGAGGAAGGUAGAAUUCCCGGUGUAGCGGUGAAAUGCGUAGAGAUCGGGAGGAAUACCAGUGGCGAAGGCGGACUUCUGGACUGACACUGACACUGAGGUGCGAAAGCGUGGGUAGCAAACAGGAUUAGAUACCCUGGUAGUC
RNAcentral lists this ribosomal RNA (465 nucleotides) under Vreelandella stevensii. Its description in RNAcentral is "partial 16S ribosomal RNA". It matches the Rfam family "Bacterial small subunit ribosomal RNA", at positions 338 to 795 of the family's 1533-position model. The record is from RNAcentral. Lineage: Bacteria; Pseudomonadati; Pseudomonadota; Gammaproteobacteria; Oceanospirillales; Halomonadaceae.